UACGGAGGGUGCGAGCGUUGUUCGGAAUCACUGGGCGUAAAGGGCGUGUAGGCGGUCCGCUAAGUCUGAUGUGAAAGCCCGGGGCUCACCCCCGGAAGUGCAUUGGAAACUGGCGGACUCGAGUCCCGGAGAGGAGAGUGGAAUUCCGGGUGUAGCGGUGGAAUGCGUAGAGAUCCGGAAGAACACCGGUGGCGAAGGCGGUUGGCUGGGCCACAACUGACACUGAUGCGCGACAGCGUGGGGAGCAAACAGG
Molecule: ribosomal RNA, 253 nt
Filed under: uncultured bacterium
Lineage: Bacteria
Description: partial 16S ribosomal RNA
Rfam family: Bacterial small subunit ribosomal RNA
Source: RNAcentral